GACGAACGCUGGCGGCGUGCCUAAUACAUGCAAGUCGAACGCAGUGGGGACGGGUGAGUAACACGUGGGUAACCUCCCAUCAGAGGGGAUAACACUUGGAAACUGGUGCUAAACCGAUACGGAUGGAGGGAAUAGGGGUGCAUUAGCUAGUUGGUGGGGUACCGGCUCACCAAGGCCACGAUGCCUAGCCGGCCUGAGAGGCUGACCGGCCACACUGGGACUGAGACACGGCCCAGACUCCUACGGGAGGCAGCAGUAGGGAAUCUUCGGCAAUGGACGAAAGCCUGACCGAGCAACGCCGCGUGAGUGAAGAAGGUUUUCGGAUCGUAAAACUCUUUUGUUAGAGAAGCGGUAUCUAACCAGAAAGCCACGGCUAACUACGUGCCAGCAGCCGCGGUAAUAC
RNAcentral lists this ribosomal RNA (403 nucleotides) under uncultured bacterium. RNAcentral describes it as "partial 16S ribosomal RNA". It matches the Rfam family "Bacterial small subunit ribosomal RNA", at positions 28 to 526 of the family's 1533-position model. The record is from RNAcentral.